This 365-nucleotide ribosomal RNA is filed under the name uncultured bacterium. RNAcentral's name for it is "bacterial SSU rRNA". It matches the Rfam family "Bacterial small subunit ribosomal RNA", at positions 28 to 402 of the family's 1533-position model. The record is from RNAcentral.
GGCGAACGCUGGCGGCGUGCUUAACACAUGCAAGUCAAGGGGGCCCAGCAAUGGGCAACCGGCGAACGGGUGCGUAACACGUGAGCAACCUACCGAACUGUGGGGGAGUAGCCGGCCUAACGGCCGAGUAAUACCGCAUACGCUCUCAGUGAGGCAUUUCAUUGAGAGGAAACCUACGGGACAGAUCGAGGGGCUCGCGGCCUAUCAGCUAGUUGGCGAGGUAACGGCCACCAAGGCAACGACGGGUAGCUGGUCUGAGAGGAUGGCCAGCCACAUUGGGACUGAGAUACGGCCCAGACUCCUACGGGAGGCAGCAGUAAGGAAUAUUGCGCAAUGGGCGAAAGCCUGACGCAGCGACGCCGCGU